AUGGGGAAGCCGCGGGCGGUGCUGGCCCUGGCUGCGGCGGCGGCGGCAUUGCUCCUCUCCUUCUUGGCCGCCGCCGUAGGGGGGCAGGGCGCCGGGAGGAUCCAAGGUAUGGGUGGAUGCGCGAUGCACCUGAUUGGUCUGAGAAAUCCGUGGUUUCCGUUGAUGUCCUCUGGCCAACAGAGUAUAGGAAGUGCUGAUGAUGACUCUGCCAGGGGGCUCAAGGUGUAUAUGUAUAUCUAUGGUCUCCCUGAAAAAUACAACAAGCCGCUGAAGAAGGAACCUAGGUGCCUGAACUACAUGUUCGCCAUGGAGAUCUUCAUGGAACAGUUUCUGUUGCCGAGUGUGAUCCAGAUUUUAAUCCCGAGGAUGCAAUUUGGUUGUAUACAUGCUAUUCAGAUGUGCAGCGCAAUUGAGCAGAUUACGACGAAAUGA
Molecule: ribosomal RNA, 432 nt
Filed under: Triticum aestivum (bread wheat)
Lineage: Eukaryota; Viridiplantae; Streptophyta; Magnoliopsida; Poales; Poaceae
Description: partial small subunit ribosomal RNA
Source: RNAcentral